Long non-coding RNA from Cyprinus carpio carpio, 5105 nucleotides. NCBI's taxonomy places the organism in Eukaryota, Metazoa, Chordata, Actinopteri, Cypriniformes, Cyprinidae. The record is from Ensembl.
AGAAUAAGCAUUUAUUACAUUUUUGGCCAGUACUACACUUUACAUAAUAGCACAAAAAUUAAAGUGCAGUCACCAUGCAGAAUUUAAAUGAUCACAAGUGCAUGUUCCCAUUAGACCUACCUUUUUCAACAGCAGAAUUCUCAUCAUCUGUAUUUAAAAACCCAAAGUACAGCAGCUUUCCUUUACCUGAUUACAGUUUUUAAUAUCCAGGUUGCAUUAAGGAAGAUAAAUUGCCGUCCCAGCGCAAUCUGACUGUUAACACAGAGACGAUCUAUUACAAUAUCAGCUUUUGUCCAUGUCUCGUCUAAUUAGAUUCUCAAAUGGAUACUGGAUCAAUCAAUAAUUUUAAUUUCGCCUGCCUCCUUUUCACCGCAUAUUCGCCGUUUGGUUUUUAACGGAAAACAAAACGACAGAACAAAAGGCAGUAAUUUAUUCGGAACGAGCGCCGCUUACUGCAGAUGAGCUCGGUAACAGACUGCGGGCUGCAGACUCGCAUCGCUCUAAUUAACAUGCAGAUAUGCAUCACCUCAUUGGCAAUUCAAAUUGCGCUUCCCUGUAAUGUACCUCAAAAUUGUUCUACUUCAAACAUUGCAUUUGAUUUGCAAAGCCCCCUGGGUAUCCCAUAAUGUCUCCCUUUAUCCAGACCAUCAGGCGUUUACUGAACAAUCUGCUCUGACUCAACUCCUCCAACAGCUUGCCUUCCCCAAACCCAGUCUGGUUGCUCUGGUACAGGCUUUGUCCUCUCCUUGGCAGGUUUCCUGCAUGGCAUCCUACGCUGUUAAAUAUGGUGGCUUUCCGGAAGACUUCAUUUCCAUGGCACACGGACAGGCAGGCAGGCGGACGCGUGUCUGUCUACUCAGCACAUUAUUAGCAUGCAGUGCAUAUCCACAGUCAUGAAUGCCAGCCUCCCAUUAGGCUCUGUUUUGGUCCCUCCCACGCUCCCGUUUGCGGAAGUUCUGAUUAUUGCGUAUGGAGUGCACGUGAGUGCUCCGCUCGCUGCCGAUGGCAGGGGGCCCAGAGGAGCAACAAGUGGCAGAAUCUGCAGUGUGCAGUUUUUCAGUGUGUUCGCAGCGGCAGGGCUGGCAUGGCGCCAGAUCUGCCAUCUGCUUCCUUCACACGCGCUUUUCCUUCCUGCCAAUUUGCUCAUGACGUUAUGUGCCUCCUGUCCUCAUUUGCGUGUCAGAUACUGGCAGCACACGUUCCUGCCCCCACCUCAGUGAGGGUUCUCCAAGGGGCAGGUGGCAUGUUGUCGGGUCCACGUUGGUCAACGACCACGAAAUCACGCAGGAGAAAAUUUUGCAAAUAAAUAAUACUUCUCCAAAAAAGUCCUUGUGUUAAUGAUUCUUGUUGUUUUUUUGUAGCCAUAUCCUCUAGCAUUCUCCAUUGGUGAGUUCAGUGUGAGCGUUGAAAUGGAUCCUGCUCACAUGGGAACUUUUCCUGCCUGUGAAGACCAGUAUUGUUUUCCCGUCGGGAUGCUGCCAGUGUACACACUCAGCCAUUAAGCUCCUUACAUGGUUGCUCGCUACAGCCGUCUGCUCCUACCUCCACGAGCUCUGCCACCUAGCCAGAAGGAGGGAAUGCUGUGGGAUCUAAUGCGCACGAGCCGUUUGAAGCUGCGGAAAAGUGAAUAAUCAAUUAAGUAUUGAUUUCUUGUAAGAUUUUGUAAAUUUCAAGGCAAGACAAAGAGGAUAGCUUAAGGGAAGAGCAGCAGGGACUUGGUGUAAAUUAGCCAACAAACAGCACGGCGGAAUAAACUAACGGCUCAUCAGGAUCAGUCUCUCAUCGCUCCUGACGGAAUUAAUGCUAGUUUGCGUGAAGACAAUGCCGCUUUUUUAAAUGAGGAAGGCUGGCGAACGAGACCUUAACCCAGCCGCGCAGAGCCGGGCUAAUUACACUUCCCGGCACAAUGGAGCUCAUUUGAAUGUGGCUAUGCAAAUCGCACGCAGCUCAUUUUUAUGGAUCAGAAAGCCAGCCAUGUCGGGAAGAAUUAAAGGCUAUUAUGCGUGCAAAGCAGUUUAUUCCCCCCCACCCCUUACAUGAGGGAAAAUACACUUGAAAAUGAGAGAAGCAUUGGACUGUCUUCAUAACUCAACACAAAAGAUCACACAAGAAACCUUCAAAGGACUCAAAGUGUUUCUUCUCUUUUUUUUUCUAUAAAAACGUGAUCAAAUAUGCGCGUGUCAAGCCCAUUACAAUGAUCCGUGGAUACUGAUGGCGUCCUUUCCGAUUGAUAAUUAUCGUCGCUGGCACACGGAGCCGCGCUGGCAUGGAUGGGGAAAAAACAAGAGGGAAAAUAAAACCGGUGCGGACUGGGAAGCAGACGAAAUGAGCAAAGUUCUGCUUGUCUUUAUUCCGCCACAGAUUACUCCAGUGCCACCUCGUUCGAAUAUGCAAUUCUGCGCUUAAAAGAUAAGAAAAAGCACUCUUGAGGCAGCCAAGGGCAAUUAAUGAGCUGGUGUGGAUGAAUCAAUGCUGGAUGUUGCCAUGUUUCUCCUUGUUUCUUCUCCCACCGAAGCAGUUCAGGAACCUCCGUGCCGUCCUCCACCGGCUGCCGUCUGUGUUUGUGGAUUCUCCAGCCUUUCCAGCCGGGCGCGUGCCUCUGUUUUGCAUAUAUGCAUACGCUGUGUGGCGCUGGAAUGAAGGGGGCAUGCUAAACAAGCAAAUUUACAUGUCUAUGCAUAAUGGCAGGGGGCGCAGAGGAGGGCGCGUGCUGGCAGGGCUGAGGGAGGAGGGGAGAAGUACAAGAGGAUGUGAUGUAGGGAAACACCUGCACUGAAGGAUCUUGGAGGAUCUUGUAGAGGAACAUUAUGACAAGCCCCUGACAGCUACCCCCCCCCACAUCCUUCUCGUGGGAACAUACCAGGAGGUGUGGCAUGAUUACGUCUCCUCGCCUUGCCCACGUGGAAACGUACCUCGCUGGCACAGAUUGGACGGCUCUGCUGAGUGUGGCACUGACAGUCCUGUGGGAAGCCCACUGCUUCAUUCACGCUUUUUCUCUCACGGGUCUUGGAUGGAUGGUAACUGUGACUGUGUGAAUGGACAUUUAUGGAUGCAUUGUGAAAAUUGUUCUUCGUUCUGGAAGUUUAAACAAACAGGAAAUUACCUUUUUUCAGUAGUGUUUUCAUAUUGAAUAUUAUAUAUUUCAUAUAAUAUAUUGAAGGCUUUUUCUGGUUCUUCACUUGCUGGGUAAAAUUUUGGACACACUUGACUGAAUUUGUUUCUCAUUUUCUUAAAAUCCUUUUUAAUCUCCAGACUAAUGAUUUAACAAAUAUACAUUGCACUGCAUACUUAUUUACAGUGAAACACAAUUUUUAUCAUUUUCUUUUUUUAUGAAAAAGUUGAAUCAAGCAGUGAAGGAAAAGCAGCCAGCACAAAUGGGAACUCCUUCAGUACUGACGUAAAAGCAUCCCAGGAUGCACCCUGUGAAGCUAGCUGAGAGCUGGAAUCUGGCUAUAUUGAGAAAACAUUGUCCCAUAGUACUAUUUCUGUUUCUUUUUUUUUCAUGUUGAUCCCUUUACUAUUGUUAUAUAACGUGAUUAGUACAACUAUUAGUCUUUAGCUAGUUAAACUAGUGGCCACAACAUAUUUUAUUUAAUAAUAAUAAUAAGAAUUAAAUUAGAAUAUUUUAUUUAAAUAAGGCAUUGGGAUUCCUCACUUUAAGUCAACUAAUUGCAUUUUCAACUGUUGUGUUAUUACUAUUAAUAGUAAUGAUAAAGAAUGGUUUGCUGUGUCCAAAGUUUGACUGGUACUGUUUGCUUUCAGGAGGAUGCAUUAUGUACACUCUCAGUUGUAUAACUGAAGCAAAAUGUGCAGAGUUCCCAUCUGAUCACAGUAUAUUACUAUACAUACUCUUAUGGUGCACAGAAAUGUGUGCUACACAGUUUAUAAUUUCCAUUUCUUCACUCAGCAGGUGCUUUUAUCCAAAGUGCCUCAUAGUUUGUUCCUUCCGAAUCAAAACUUUGUCCUUGGCAUCAUUAGUAUCCUGCUGUGGCAGUUUAGCUAUGUGUGUGCUAUGAUGUGAUGACUUGAAUGCAUUCCCAGAAGUUUCCAUAAAGCGUAUUUAAAACGCUUGGUUCUAAUAAAAGUGAAUAUUAAGUGAUACAAACACUUUGCUAUUGUGGCCAAAGGCUUACUGAAUCAACCUCCACUGUGUUUUUUUUUAACACCAAUUGUUGUUUGCACACAAUUAUCUGAAAACUGAUCAUAUCUGUGGCUAAUGAAAUGCAGUCUUCAGUCUGUGGCUCUUGAGAUCACCUUUGUGAUUCAAUCAGUCUUAUGUGCAAAUGAAAGUAAUUUAAAGGAUAAAGCAAAGCAUUAAUGAUGAGGUCAUUUACAGCAGACUCAUUAAAACACUAUUAUAUGCAAUUUCCUGUAACAAAUUUCAUUCCGAAGAAACAUUACAUUGGAUAUAAUAAACUAGCUUACUGCCGUUUAAUACAAUUAGUGUAACAUAAUGCCAUUAUGAGCCUGAAAUAGAUGCUGUCGCACAGAAGCAACAGCACUAACCUCUGUCUAAAUGAAAGAAUAUUAAAGUCAGCGGCGGUAUGACGUCUCUUUGUAAUAGCCAUGUCUGGGGUGCAAUAUGACAGCAGAAAUAUAAUGUUUCAUAACUGACAGUCUCUGGGUUUGUGUUGCCUGAGGUCGCAUGGGGCGAACAAUAAAGAGUAAUUUGAUUGAUGGAAAAUUGGAGUGGCCCAUCCAACAUGUUUCACCCGAGGCCUCGCUAUAGCAUGUACACUGGCUGAUGAUGAUUCACGUUUUCAGAAACUCCAUUUGUUUUGUUCGGAUCUGUUGCUGUAUCUGGCGUAGGGGUUCGUCUUUGAUAUGAGACUUUAAUUGUGCGGCACGGACGCAUAUUAGAGGUGUAAUUGAAUAAAAUGAAAGAAACAAAAAAGGAGAAACCCGAAGAUGGAUUGAGUAAGGGCUCUUUCUUUUAUCAAGACGCCCAGGGAUCUUUUCACACUCUCCCUCUCUCUCUCUCUCUCUCUCUCUCUCUCUCUCUCUCUCUCUCUCUCUCUCUCUCUCUCAGGCUGCGGUGUCUGGACUCUCUUCCUCUGAGUCAGCCAUGACAUCAGCAGCAGUAAAAACAGUUGUGAGUGAUAAAU